RNAcentral lists this ribosomal RNA (301 nucleotides) under uncultured bacterium. RNAcentral describes it as "partial 16S ribosomal RNA". It matches the Rfam family "Bacterial small subunit ribosomal RNA", at positions 509 to 807 of the family's 1533-position model. The record is from RNAcentral.
CAGUCGCCGCGGUAAUACGAAGGGGGCUAGCGUUGUUCGGAUUUACCGGGCGUAAAGGGCGCGUAGGCGGACUGAUAAGUCAGGGGUGAAAUCCCAAGGCUCAACCUUGGAACUGCCUUCGAUACUGUUUGUCUUGAGUUCGAGAGAGGUAAGUGGAACUGCGAGUGUAGAGGUGAAAUUCGUAGAUAUUCGCAAGAACACCAGUGGCGAAGGCGGCUUACUGGCUCGAAACUGACGCUGAGGCGCGAAAGCGUGGGGAGCAAACAGGAUUAGAUACCCCAGUAGUCCCUGUCUCUUAUAC